AAUAGCCGGUCUUCCCCGAGCGCUCACCGUUCCGGAAUCAAGGGCCGCUUGACAAAAAAGGAAGAGGAGGCUAUAACUAGCCUCCUCCGGGAGACCUGAAAAAAGCAAAGCAGGGAAAGCGGGGGAGGGGUUGACAGGGAUGAUCGGGAAGUGUAGGAUCAAACGGUUGACUCUUUCGGGGAGAAAAAAGCCCUGAAGAGAAAGACGCCCUGUGGAAACGCAGGGAGAGCGUCUCGGAUCAUUGACAACUAAAUAGGAGCAGCAACGUCCAAUUAAAGGGCCCUGAUCACGAAACACAGGAACAAAAUGAAUCUGGAGAGUUUGAUCCUGGCUCAGAACGAACGCUGGCGGCGUGCCUAACACAUGCAAGUCCAACGUGAAAGGGGAGCAAUCCCCCGGUAGGGUGGCAAACGGGUGAGUAAUACAUGGGUGAUCUACCUUAGGGAUGGGGAUA
This 454-nucleotide ribosomal RNA is filed under the name uncultured bacterium. Its description in RNAcentral is "partial 16S ribosomal RNA". The stretch from base 310 to 454 matches the Rfam family "Bacterial small subunit ribosomal RNA", at positions 1 to 145 of the family's 1533-position model. The record is from RNAcentral.